AGAAGGAUUACAGAACUAAAGCAAGUGAAAAUUCAAGAGAUAUCACUGUUUGAUUUUAGAAUGUUGGCAACUGCAACAAACAACUUUGACAUAGCAAACAAACUUGGGCAGGGUGGUUUUGGUCCAGUAUAUAAGGGGAAAUUUAAAGAUGGACAAGAUAUUGCAGUAAAAAGACUAUCAAGAUCAUCUGGACAGGGUGUUGAAGAAUUUAUAAAUGAAGUCGAGUUGAUUUCUAAGCUUCAACACUGAAACCUUGUUAAACUUCUUGAUUGUUGCAUUGAAGGAGAAGAGAUACUGGUUUAUGAAUAUCUACCAAACAAAAGUUUAGAUGCAUACAUCUUUGAUCCACUGCAACAAAAAUGCUUCGGUUGGGGAAAGUGUUUCAACAUAAUUGAGGGAUUAGCUAGAGGAUUACUAUAUCUUCAUAGAGAUUCAAGAUUAAGAAUUAUACAUAAAGAUUUAAAGGCAAGUAACAUAUUGUUAGAUGAAGAGAUGAAUAUAAAAAUAUCAUAUUUUAGAAUGGCUAAACUUUUCAAAGGUGGUCAAGACCAAGCAAA
This is a long non-coding RNA of Neltuma alba, 557 nucleotides long. RefSeq lists it as uncharacterized. NCBI's taxonomy places the organism in Eukaryota, Viridiplantae, Streptophyta, Magnoliopsida, Fabales, Fabaceae. The transcript has 3 exons. The record is from RefSeq and is a predicted model, not a curated record.